UGGAAAUCAACAUCAUAUGUGAAGAUAAUUUCCUUGUUCUCUUCAACCUCUUGAGGAGUGUUAGAGUUGAUAACGGUGUGUUUAGCAUGAGGGUCACAGGUUGUCAAACGAGUCUUCUUUUCAAACCAUUGACCUUGUUCAUAUUCGUGUUUGACACUGCACAUCAAAACUCAGAUUUGAGAAUUCACUAUUAGAUAGUAAAUACAACAAAAAGAUGAACCAAUUAUAAAAGACAACCCCAUGCACAAGACUCCUACAAUCAUAGAAAAUAAAAUGGAAUAAAUUAACACAGCAUUUGUAGCAUAAAAUAAUGACCUGAAUGGCUUGACCUCAAAACCCACGAUUCUAGAGGAUUCAGUUUGCACAUCUCUAUGAUACUUGACAGUAAAUGCCAAAUGGUUGUGAAUAAAAAACUUUUCCUCCUUGCUCUGUGCAUCCAGAUAAAGUAAGUAAAGGCACUACUUGGCAUUCAUAACAAUAGCAAUGGAGCUAAAAAAUAGUAAUCAUACCCCACUAUACUGGCCUUUGAGUCCAACAUGGAAACCAAGCUGAUAAACAGUAGAAUCCUGAUCAUUCCGUUUUAUGGGAACAACUAGAGGAAGGUUAUCUAGGAUCCUGUGAAUUAGAGGCAGAACCGUUAUAAGAUACAACACAUCGAGGUUGUGGCAGAAAAUAAUAGAUUAACAAUGUAACAUACAUGUUCACCCGAUACUCAUCAUUGAUCUUCUCUUUGAACGCUUUUGCAGUUUUAGCAUCAAGCUUAAUCUUACACACAAUAUUGCACAUUUCUGGCUCGCGCAUUUUGAACUGCAGAAUAUCAUGGAAUAAGGAUCAGUUAAUAACCAUAAAUAUUAAGAGAUGUUAAAAAAUGUUUAAGAGAGUGCUAAACAAAAUUAGGUUAAAACAACCACUCAUGUAGUUAAUCAAGUUAAGUGAUUACUCAUUAACAACUCUUCAAACAUGGUUAAUCAAUUCAGUGGCUAGUUGUUACUAAACUGAAAAUAUUUCACCAAGAAUCCUAUCUUGUAAUUUACCUAAAAUUAAUUAGCCACGAAUUAAUAUGUAAUACUGACCACAUAACGAGAAUUUUCAAUGCGGUCCCCACGAAGCACUUCCCCAAGAUUUUCUGCACUGUCCUGAAUUUUUUUGGGGGCACAAUAAGGAAGUGAAUAAUAUGAGUAUGGCAGCUGGGUCUUUAUUGAUGUUAAUUUGUUUACUUUCACUUGCAAUGGAUCUCCCUGCACCAAAGAAAUAUGUAAAAACUAAAACGUCAGUUAAUGACUUAAGAAGUGGAUCUGUAAUAAAAUCUGAGCAUUAUUCACCUUGGCCAGAUUGAGAGCAUGACAAAAACAAAUAUCCUAUUUGAAACAAUGUAUGGCAAUUGAAUACCAAACUGUCUUAUAUGCAUAGUGAAUACUUUAAAAGGGGCUACAAGCGGUCAAAUAUUUUUUUCUAUCAUUCAUAAGUGCCACAGUAGCUGGUACGACGUAAAGUUAUAGGAUGCAAGAAUUUAAUCGUGAAGGCAAUCUGAUGACAUCCUUUUUAUUUAUAAAUAACCUUAAAAAGCAGAAGACUAGAGGUAUAGAAAUAAAUGGGUCAGUAAACAAAAGUAAAAUGAAAAGCAGAAGACAAGGAGGAUGAAGCCAAAAAGUUUAUGAUACAAUUCACAGUAAUGGAUGGAUCAGUGAAACAACAGAUCGUCUUGAAAACCAAUAAACGAGCGAAAGGAACUAGACGGUUGCGGUUAGUGUCACAUUCCUUUCUUUCAUUCAUCGAUUUUCAAGACCAUCCGUUGUCUCCGAUUCCACUAUCACGAAUCAAAUCAGCUUCUUCUGUGAAGUUUCAAUUGCAUGCAUCAAAUGGUACUACAGCUAAAUAUUAAAAAAUCAACUUCUCAAUCCAAAGAAAAGCAAUAAAAUAGAAGGUACUAGAGCGAUCCGCUAAGUUAUACUUAUACACCCUAGUUUCCAGUCCAAUCCUCCAACAUUUUAUAAAGAUACAUAGCCAAGUUUCACAUCAAACAACACCAAAAACUGUUUCUAGUUAAUUUCAACCAACAUCAGCAAUGCUGAGACUGAUAAAUGCAAGAUAAGUAAUAGAAAUCAAAACCAAGUGAAUCGAUCCACUGAAAUUAAGACUCAACAUUUCACACAGUUUCCUGAUCCUCUUCCAACAAUUAGAAAAUCAAUGAUAAACUAAACAAACUGGAAAACCUAGAAUCAUCAAUCACAUCACGUUACGUGCAAUCCAACACAGAUCUGAAUCCUCAGAUUCAAUCAAUCACAGAUGAAGGAAACAAGUCGGCGUUACCUUCACAAAGUCCUGUGGAGCGACGCCGGGGAGGUAGAAGCAGUGAGCACCAUGAAUGAGAAGAAGAAGAACUGCGGAGAAAGCGAGAGAUCUCAAAAACGCCAUGGCGUUCGAGAUCGAGAUCGGGAUGUUGAUUUUCUUUGUCGGUGUGGUUUUGUUGAGUUGUGAGCGAUGGCAGGUGAAGAAUCGUAGUCGCGAUCUGAUGGUUGUUGAUUUUCUUCUUCUCCGGUGCAAAUUGGGAUUGUCACCACUACUGUCUUAAACUUAUACCUGAUGUUAAGUGCUUCCGGUUAAAACGCGCUUUUCAUUUUUCUUCACCUUAUUUCCUAUUUUGAUAUUUUCAUUUUCACUUCACUACUACUCUUUUCUUUCUUUUGUUUUUUUAUUAUGUUUUCUAUUUUCAUUUUAGAAAUUUGAGAUUCUUACCUCAUUAGUGAAGGUAUAAUUAUAAAGUAAGGCUUGAUUUCCGCAAACUCAAAGCAGCUAAGCAAUUUGUAUAAAAGUUUGUUUAAUGACAAACGUGCUUGAGAGAGACAUUAUGUGAGCGAAUGACGAUGAAGAUAACCUCAUUCAAAAUGUUAUUAUACAAGGGAAAUAACAUGGUUGAGAGCAAAUGAAUGACAUCCAAUGAAUCACUCUAAAAAAUCAUUUGAUGAUAUUCUAAGCUCCAAGCCAAUAGCAAAUCAUGCUUCGAAACUAAAAUCUCAGCAUGGAGAGGACAACUACUAUGAAAGAAAGCUAAAAAAACCUAACAUGGUGCCCACUCGGAAGGAGUCACGAAUGAUCAGACUGACACUCAUCAAGUUACUACUUUUGCGAAAUUAACAUUUCUCAUCCAGCUUAACAAAAGAGUCAUAGGAACAAUUAUGACGAGUAAGUUGAUCGUGAAGAGGAACGAGAUGACUAUAUCUAGAAAAAUGUCGCAAUGCUUCACUAUCAUGGUGCCCCACUCGGAAGGAGUCACGAAUGAUCAGACUGACACUCAUCAAGUUACUACUUUUGCGAAAUCAACAUUUCUCAUCCAGCUUAACAAAAGAGUCAUAGGAACAAUUAUGACGAGUAAGUUGAUCGUGAAGAGGAACGAGAUGACUAUAUCUAGAAAAAUGUCGCAAUGCUUCACUAAAUGAUUGAGAGAUUUAAAUUACAAGAGCUAAACAAAUUGAUGUAUCACUAAAUUAGCGCGAAAAAAAAUAUAAGAGGUACGAAAUUUAUUUUAGUACCCAAUGAACCUACAACUUAAAUUUGAGUGUAUAAAUGCUUUAUUCUAUGAUUGGAAGUUUGAGUGAGUUCAGUUCUGAUCACAGAUCAAGGGAUGUUUUUGGACCACAAGUUACUUAUAGAGAUACUCAUAUCACUCACUAACAUAAUCCUUACAUGGAGCGGGUAUUGAACACACAACCCUUAAAUUUGAUGAGGAAGCUAUAUGGCCAUCAGGCCAUCCAGCUUAUGUAGAAGCGGGUGAUUAUAUUACUGGCUUGUAUUAUAUUGUGAUUAUACUAUACUCUUAUUUCAUUGUUGAAUAAUUUGAUUAAUAUUAACUUUUUUCAAGAAAGGAAAACUGAUGUCAUUAGAUUGUAUUAUGAUGAACUGGUGAUCUACCUCAACUCACGCUCACUCUCGAGUGUGGAGUGAGAGAAGUGGAGUGUGAUUAACAGUGUGUAGGUUUUUCAAAGUAACAUAUUCGUAUAUUGCCGAUUUCCCUUGCAAUGCAACAUGAAAAGGACGGGAAAAAAAUAACAAAUUUUGUAACCUUAUUAAUCUUGCAUACAUAUUAACUGAUCAUUUAGAGGAUAAAAAACUGUUUCUAUAUAAUAUCUUUGCAUUUAUAAUUUUAUGAGUGCAUUAGUUAAUAUGAAUUUUCAAUUCAAUUCUAUUAGCAACAUGAAUUUUACCACAGUUAACCACAAACUAACUAUACUACUAAUACAUCCAUUCAUCAUUCAUCAUAUGCCCACCCAAUUGAUGAGAUUACAGUUCUGUUAAAAUAAUAUAUAAACAUCUGCCACAGAAAAAAAGCCUACUUCGACACGGGCAAUUAAAAUUAUACUGAAACAAAAGAAUUGCUGUCAUCAUAAUUCAAAAUUGCAUAAAAAUAGGUUACAUCUGAACAUGAUAUAGUACAUGAAUUUCAAAAUCCUUACACAAUCUUUUCUUCAUCCUAUAAGAAGUGUUGUAGACUGAUCAAGCCGCGGACAGCUAUAACUAAUCAAUUUUGACUGAGGAGUAGAUAAGCCUUGUGAACCAAAGGCAUGCAUAAAAUCCUAUAGUUCCGGUUACCACGAAAAACGCAUAAGAAGCUAUAAGCAUGUAACCGAAGUAAAAUAUUGCAGAUACCAACUUUGUGAUUUCCAGCUUGGUGAAGAAGUAGAAUGUUGCAUAAAGAAAGAGGUAAAGUGCAGAAGAACCAGAGGUGAGGUAUGACCGCCACCACCACGAGUAAUCCUCACUGCACAACUGGAAGUAGCAGAGCACAAUGGUUAUUUCAGCACAGGUAACAAUGAGGAUGAGGACGACCAAAAAUAGGAACCCAAAGAUGUAGUAAAACUGAUUUAACCAGAUUGAGGUAAGGAUGAAGAAAAGCUCAAUGAAAACAGCUCCGAAUGGGAGUAUUCCCCCAAUCAAAACUGAGAAGACUGGGUUCAUGUACCAGGCCUGCUCAGGUAUCUGCCUUGGGAUUUUGUUUGUCUUCACAGGACUCUCAAUCGCAGGCUUCUUAAAUCCAACAUAGCCACCCACAAAAACAAGUGGGACUGAGAUCCCAAACCAUAAAAAGACCAAAGCAAACAUAGUACCAAAUGGCACAGCUCCAGAUGAUUUUUGGCCCCAUAUGAGAGCAUUUAAUAUAAAGAAGAUGAGAGAGACAGUUGCAGGGAACAUGGUUGCAGUCCUGAGGGCAAUCUUUUUCCAGUCCGAUCCUUUGAACAUUUUGUACAGGCGAGCUGAGGAGUAACCAGCGAAAAGUCCCAUGAACACCCAAAGCAAGAGCAUGGCUGUCAUUAACCCACCUCGGUUUGAAGGAGAAAGGAACCCGAGGAUUGCAAACAUCAUGGUUACCAGUACCAUCCAAAAGAACUGAACGCCAGUCCCAACAUAAACACACAGCAAAUCUGAGUUGCUAGGCGGCCUAAAGACAUCCCCAUGGACAAGUUUCCAACCAGUCUCUUCUUGGGCUUCUUCCUGGGUUUCAAGCUCAUUAUAUUUUGCAAUGUCACGGUACAGGGUCCGCAGCAUAAUCAUUGCCACCAUGCCCGAAAGGAAGAGAACAAUCAUUAAGGAGUUAACAAUUGAGAACCAGUGGAUUUGGUCAUCAUUCAUGAGCAAAUAUGCAUCCCAUCUUGAAGCCCACUUCACAUCACUCUCCUGAAAGCAGCAGCCCAAGGUAAGAGAAAAUAAUAAGAAAUACAACCAACAACGUAUUUCAUCAUAAAAGCAAAACAAGGUGGAGGAUAAUACAGAAGACUCUACUUAGAUCGAAGAGAAAGAAAAGUUUGUUAAAAGAAUACCAAAUUAUAAAAAUGCCCCCAAUGCAAGAGGUUUUUUAUAAUUUAUAACCCCAAUAAUAAACCAGAAGUUCCACCUAAAACCGAAUGCCUUACUACUUGACACGUGUAUGACAACAACAAUUCUAAAGGAAAGGAAAGUACAAUUAUACCAUAUUAAGAUCUCCAUAAUCUCACCUGGAAAUCAACAUCAUAUGUGAAGAUAAUUUCCUUGUUCUCUUCAACCUCUUGAGGAGUGUUAGAGUUGAUAACGGUGUGUUUAGCAUGAGGGUCACAGGUUGUCAAACGAGUCUUUUUUUCUAACCAUUGACCUUGUUCAUAUUCGUGUUUGACACUGCACAUUAAAACUCAAAUUUGAAAAUUCAAUAUUAGAUAGUAAAUACUACAAAAAGAUGAACCAAGUAAAAAAGGCACAAGACUCCUACAAUCAUAGAAAGAUAAAAUGGAAUAAAUUAACACAGCAUUUGUAGCACAAAAUAAUGACCUGAACGGCUUGACUUCAAAACCCACGAUUCUAGCAGAUUCAGUUUGCACAUCUCUAUGAUACUUGACAGUAAAUGCCAAAUGGUUGUGAAUAAAAAACUUUUCCUCCUUGCUCUGUUCAUCCAGAUAUAGUAAGUAAAGGCACUACUUGGCAUUCAUAACAAUAGCAAUGGAGCUAAAAAAAUAGUAAUCAUACCC
RNAcentral lists this long non-coding RNA (6491 nucleotides) under Lotus japonicus. Its description in RNAcentral is "long non-coding RNA (LJAP_LNC001073)". Lineage: Eukaryota; Viridiplantae; Streptophyta; Magnoliopsida; Fabales; Fabaceae. The record is from RNAcentral.